Molecule: long non-coding RNA, 2045 nt
Organism: Sapajus apella (tufted capuchin)
Lineage: Eukaryota; Metazoa; Chordata; Mammalia; Primates; Cebidae
Exons: 2
Source: RefSeq, a predicted model, not a curated record
GACCAGACCUCAUCUUUAAAAAAAAAAAAAAAAAAAAUGGAUAAACCUGAGCCAGUCUGAGGACCGUGAAAGUACUUUCAUUCUACUUUACCUGUGGAGGAAGCUGAUCUUCCAAAUUCCCCUAUUUUGCUGUUGACUUGAACUGAGUGAUAAAAUACUAUCCAAGCAAAGGAAGGAGAAAAAGGUUAUGUCCCAGGUCCAGUUUAAAAAUUGCCAUCCUGUUUAACCUUGAGUAGUGAUGGGAUCAUUUGACACCAAUAAUAAUGUCAGAAAUUUCUGUUUAUGUAGCUUUCAUCUUGAAGGUGUACCUAAAUUGACAUAAGAUAGAUCUUAUGUUUCUGAUUAUUAGGUCAGCCUCAAAGCAUAGUUAUGCUAAUUUCUAAAGAGCCUCACAAUUUUAUAAGUAUUUUGUAAUCAGAAGUAAUGAAGCUAAAUAGUAUAGAGAUAUAUUUAGGCAUAGAUUUUUUUUUAUUUUUUAUCAGAUUUUUAAACCACAAUGUUCUCUGUGUAAUAUACUCAUGAAUAGGCUAAGAUGAGCAUUUACAUUUGGUUGUAUACAUAAUUACAGUUAUAUCAUUAACAGAAAAUACAUUCAGAGAACACCUAAGGAAAAUUAUUAUUGGUUCUAAAUGUUAAGCUCUAAUUUAAGAUAAGCGUUCUAAAUAGAACGAUUUUAUUAUUUCCUGAAAAGUGCUUAGAAGACAGAAAUGUGUAGUUUCUUUGUGGCUGUUUGAUUCUACAUUUUACAGCAUUACAACAACUUCAGAGUAAAGUCUUUUUAGCAAAUACUUGAUGUUUCCAGUUUUCAUUGGUUUUAUUUUGCAUUCAUGGAAGGUAUAUAGCUAGCAAUUGUCUCAUGACAUAGAUAUACCUGCUCAGCUAGAUUAAAUUUUUCCCAGGUUUUAGCUUUGGCACACAUGGCUUAUUUUUAAAUUGUGAUCAUAGAAUUGUCUAAUCUAAGGAAUUUGCUACUGAUCUGUUUGGGAGUUUUCUUUUCAGAAUACGUAAGGCCUGAAUUUAUCUCUUAGAAAAGCUAUUACAGCUUUUUAAAUAAAUUAACUUAUUCAUUUGGCAAAGAGUGAGUACCCUAAGGUCCAGAUACUGUUCUAGACAUUGAGGCUAUGGCAGUAAAAAAAAAGUGUUCCUGCCCCUAUGGAGAAUAUCGUUCAUGUAAGAUGCUUGUGUUAGUAAAGCCACUCUUGCCCUUUGCUGCAUUAUUUCUUACUAACUUUCUAUUCUCAGAAAGUAAAUGAGUGGUUUUGGACUAGAAAAGCCUACGUUGCUAAAUGUCAGGCACUAUCAGAGAGCAACUGUUGUAUUACUCCCCAUUUAAGUUAUUACUGACUAGAGAAUGUAUAAAACACCCGACUUUGACUCUUGUCUAUUCAAGAGCAGUUUUCCAAAUCUAUUAAAUUUUAAGCCUAGAUUUUACUUUUACUUCAUGGAAUUAUUUACGAGAAAGAUGUUUAGAAACAUUUUGGUUUUUUGCAUUUACUUUAUUACUUUGACACUUGUAAACCAUGGUGGUUUUUUGUGAUUUAAGCAGUUGCAGUAUGAUUCUUUCCAAGUUUAUUUUAAAAAGGAUUGGGGGCUAUAUAAGAACGGAUAAAAUAUAGUUCUGUUGUAGUAGAAAAAACAGACACACUGUAUAUAUCAUAAGAAACCUGUAUCUAAGUCUUAAAAGCAAUGUGGAAGGUAGCAGGUAGCCUCGUGUCAUCAAAAGGCUUUGUUGAGGAAGUGACGUUUAAUCUGUAUUAAAGGUGAAUGGCCCAUGGUUAGGGGAGGGCCUCAAGAAGUAUAAGGGCAUAAUAUAUCAUAAACAAGGGAAGUAAGUGAUUUGAGGAGGUUGAAGUAUAUAGACGUAUGCAGAGCAGUAUUUUUAAAACUUUUUUUUAAAAGAUAAGUUUGAAGAGUUAGUUCAGGACCCAGUACUAACGCUAUUUGGAUCUUGUCUCAUUGGCAGUAGAAAAGUGUAAAGAUCUAGCAAAAAAAAAAAAAACAAACAGUAAAACUUGAUGAUCAAGUUGGCAAUAAGGAGCAAAAAA